CUACGGGCUGCAGCAGUGAGGAAUAUUGCACAAUGGGGGGAACCCUGAUGGAGCAACGCCGCGUGGAGGAUGACGCAUUUCGGUGUGUAAACCCCUUUUAUAUGUCAAGAAAAUGACGGUAGCAUAUGAAUAAGCACCGGCUAACUCCGUGCCAGCAGCCGCGGUAAUACGGAGGGUGCAAGCGUUACUCGGAAUCACUGGGCGUAAAGGACGCGUAGGCGGGUUGGAAAGUCAGGUGUGAAAUCCUACAGCUUAACUGUAGAACUGCACUUGAAACUUCUAAUCUAGAGUAUGGGAGGGGGAGAUGGAAUUAGUGGUGUAGGGGUAAAAUCCGUAGAUAUCACUAGGAAUACCUAAAGCGAAGGCGAUCUCCUGGAACAUUACUGACGCUAAGGCGUGAAAGCGUGGGGAGCAAACAGGAUUAGAUACCCGGGUAGUC
Molecule: ribosomal RNA, 439 nt
Filed under: uncultured bacterium
Lineage: Bacteria
Description: partial 16S ribosomal RNA
Rfam family: Bacterial small subunit ribosomal RNA
Source: RNAcentral